AACAAACGCUGGCGGCGUGCCUAACAUAUGCAAGUCGUACGAGAAAGGGUCUUUCGGGAUCUGAGUAAAGUGGCGCACGGGUGAGUAACGCGUGGAUAAUCUGCCCUUCAGUUGGGAAUAACUCAUCGAAAGGUGGGCUAAUACCGAAUAAUGCUGUGAGACCUCGGUUGAUCAGCCAAAGAGAGCCUCUGCUUGCAAGCCCUUGCUGAAGGAUGAGUCCGCGUACCAUUAGCUAGUUGGUAGGGUAAUGGCCUACCAAGGCGACGAUGGUUAGCUGGUCUGAGAGGAUGAUCAGCCACACUGGAACUGAGACACGGUCCAGACUCCUACGGGAGGCAGCAGUGAGGAAUCGUGCGCAAUGGGGGAAACCCUGACGCAGCAACGCCGCGUGAGUGAGGAAGGUCUUCGGAUCGUAAAGCUCUGUCGGAUGGAAAGAACCGCAUAGGGGUAAACAGCCCCUGUGUCUGACGGUACCAUCAAAGGAAGCACCGGCUAACUCCGUGCCAGCCGCCGCCGUAA
Molecule: ribosomal RNA, 519 nt
Filed under: uncultured bacterium
Lineage: Bacteria
Description: partial 16S ribosomal RNA
Rfam family: Bacterial small subunit ribosomal RNA
Source: RNAcentral